Molecule: long non-coding RNA, 1234 nt
Organism: Gallus gallus (chicken)
Lineage: Eukaryota; Metazoa; Chordata; Aves; Galliformes; Phasianidae
Exons: 2
Source: RefSeq, a predicted model, not a curated record
GGGCUGGUAUUUGUGCAUGGAGUUCAGGAUGGUCUGGGGUGGGGGGAGAGAGAGCAGAGCCCGCGGUCAGCCCCACCGCCACCACCUCCCUGCAAAACCCUUCAUUUCUCCCCAGAAAGAAAGAAAAAAGAUAAAAAGAAACAUCCAAAUUCAUUGUGAGGAGAGAACAGAAGCAGCUGCCAGAGAGGGAGAUCUCUUUUUUCGAUGGUGCCGUGGCCCGAUCUGCCCCCAGAGAAGGAGGUCAGGGGGAAGGCACAGCAAGAAAGCAGCGCCCAGGAUCCCCCCGAUUUAUCACCGCUCUGACAACGCCAGGUGAUGCAGAUGUGAGCAAUAAGGAAAUAGAGGCGUUCGGGAGCCUUCCAGGCACAGCCGGUGUGGAGCGGCCGCUGCCAACCUCUUUGGCUCUGCUCCCACCGCGCAAACCCCGCGCAGGUGCCGCCUCCAGCCCCGCACCGCCCGGCCUGGACCGAGGGGACGUCCCGGGCCGUACCUGCCCGGUCACACUGCCACAGCCCGGCUGCACCGUCGGGGCCGUCCCCGCCGCCUCCCCGGCCCGGCCUCCCCCAGUUCGGCCCCGUUACGCCCCGGAGAGGAGCGGGGACCACGACACGACGCGACCCCGGGAGGGGGCCGCUAAAUCCCGGCCGCUGCCCCCGGGCGGACCCGGGCCGCUCUGCCCCGCGGUCACACUUACAAAGCCGUGUUUGUCCGAGAUGUUGUUGGUGAGCUUGAGUUUGUGAAAGGCAACGGGUUUGGCCAUCCACUGCUCGCCGGUGGCCGGGCUGUCGGGGUGGAUGUACAUGCGUUUGGGCAUCUCCGGGUCGGCCUUCCCGGCCACCAUCCAGCGGGAGUUGUGGAAUUUGUACCGGCAGUCGUCGGCCGCAACUAUAUCCAUGAGCAAAAUGUAUUUGGCCUUCUUGUCCAGGCCGCUCACCCGCACCUUGAACGGGGGGAACAUCCUCCUGCGGAGAGACGCGCAGCGCUGCAGGGAGCGACCCUCGACGGCCGCAGCCCCCCCCGGCCCGAGGGGUGCCCAGCGCUCGGGUAAAAAGCUCCGGGUCCCAUUGCGGGAAUGAAGGGGCAGAGAGAAAAACGCGGAUCCUUUUUUCACUGCGUUUCUUUAGGGUCCCCGUCCCGGAACCGGGGCCGGGGGUGGGGAAAAUUUGGCAGCGAGGAACGGCAGAGAGCGAUGUAAAUAAAUACGACGGCGCUCAAUGAGUGCGCACAGAUUUAA